This 2027-nucleotide long non-coding RNA is filed under the name Homo sapiens (human). RNAcentral describes it as "non-protein coding LINC00630:46". Lineage: Eukaryota; Metazoa; Chordata; Mammalia; Primates; Hominidae. The record is from RNAcentral.
ACACCCAGAAAGUACAGGAAAGGCAGACGACAACUGUGCUCCGCAGAGCGGGAGGUGGGGGGAACGGCGGAAUAUUAAGGUGGGUAGGUGUCUCUCCAUGCUUCAUCAGCCUGAAAACUAAUUUCUCAGGCGACCGGAAUUACAGCAUUUCUUGGUAGAGGAAACUAUCCCUCAGCCAACCGCUAGCGGUCUUAGACGGUCUGUCUUUUGUCCAGGAGCUCAAGAAGCAGAGACUCUACCUGCCCUAGGCGUUCGUGAAGAGAAGCAGCUGUUGCUAUUGGAGGAGGUGGGUGCAAGGACGGCAGAUGCCAUCCCUGAGAGGCGGUGACUGAGACUAGAUGCGGGUACAGGAACUCAGAGUGGUUUUCCAGAUGGGAAUCACAUUGCUCUCUGUCCCUGAGAUCUUGCUGGAGACAGGGCUACUCAGUCCCUCUUUGCCAGAUUGAUACUGGAAAAGCAGUUUCUAUUGAGCCCCCAAAUGAAGAGUGAGUGCAGAUGAAGAGGAGGCAGGACUCACAAGCCCUUGAACUUUAUUCCAGAUCUGUUAGCACCUACAGGACCCUGCACCAGGAUUUCAUCUGUACUAUCAGCUUCUUCAAAGAGAGAGAGGUUGUUGAAUUGAUAUUGGAAAAGCAGUUUCCCAUUGAGUCUCAAAUGAAGAGAGUGCAGAUGAAGAGGAGGUAGGAGUCACAAGCCCUUGACCCUCAUGCUAGACCCAUUACCACCCACAGGACCUUGCAGUGGGAUUUCAUCUGCACCAUCAGCUUCUUCAGAGAGAGAGGUUGUUGACUCUUCAUGUGGAUGUCUGAGCUCAUAUCAGGUGUCUGAAAGAGGCAGAUUCUGAGGAUUUGGGUCAUGAUGGCUGCCAAAGCUUCUACUCCUGACUUAAAGGGCAACAAUCCUAGGAGACCACCAGCACUUACAUCCCUGGUAGGACAUGACACCUGCUUAUGGCUCAGAAGUGACAAAAGAGAAUUAUCAGGAUGGCAGUCCUUAUAACCAGAUGCUUAUCAACAUUCUUCACUACAUUCUGAAGAUGAAUUUCUACAAGGGAAAUUGUUUAUGGAGGCAGCAGAUGGCUGAAAUUCUGAUCCGAUGUGGCUGGUUAAUGCAUGAUCUGAAAACCCCUGCACUGGUGAUUUUGGGACAGAUCUAGAAUAUACCAAUAAAUAUAUUAACAUACCAAGUAGUCUAGGAGCAGCCACUGGGCGAACACCAAACCUUGCAUCCCUGCUGCUGUCUCUGAGCUCAGCAGACACGUCUUUGCAGAAGAGUUCUAUAAUGGUGGUACAAUGGUGCCCCCUCGUGACAGAAGCUUGAACUACAGCUUGAACAUCGAGAUGAAAAUAUACUGUCUACGUUGUUCAACACAAUAGCUAAUGGCAACUGUGGCAGUUGAACACCCGAAACGUGAUGAAUGUGACUGAGGAACUGAACUUUUAGUUUCAUUGUGACAUGAUGAAUGAAUUUAUUGAGCCCCAGGAAGAAGGAAAAUUAAAGAAGAGCAAAGAAUAAUAGCUGGACAGAAGAUGGGGGUCAUUGAACCUAUAUCCUAGUUGCCAGACCAGUAAACUGACCAUGGGACCUGGGGGAGGCAGCAGAUGACCGAAAACCUGGAGUGAUGUGGCUGAAUACCGCAUGAUCUGAAGACUGCACUGGUGGCUGCGGUAUGGGUCCAAAUUUUUCCUUAACAAAAACAAAAAAAGAGCCCAAAACCAUACUGACUAGUCCAGGAAUAGCCAUUAGGCAAACAACUUUUUGCUACCCUGGUGUUACCGAUUUCUGAACUCAACAGGUGAAUUCAAAGAUAUGCCUGUCUUUCCAGCAUGGGGAGCUGGAUUUGGGUCAGCUCAGGCGCAUGAUGUUGAACAGCUCUUAUGAGCUUCUGAUAGUGCCCAGGAAGUACAGAAACAACUGUCUACAAAUCUUUGAACUCAAGGCAUAUCACAGGGACAUUUGCUUUCUUCAACUAGAUAUCUGUUUUCUCAUAAAGAGAAACAAUGAGAAAUGGUUUUUCACAAUGCCUC